GAUGAACGCUGGCGGCAUGCCUAAUACAUGCAAGUCGAGCGAACAGACGAGGAGCUUGCUCCUCUGACGUUAGCGGCGGACGGGUGAGUAACACGUGGAUAACCUACCUAUAAGACUGGGAUAACUUCGGGAAACCGGAGCUAAUACCGGAUAACAUGUUGAACCGCAUGGUUCAACAGUGAAAGACGGUCUUGCUGUCACUUAUAGAUGGAUCCGCGCCGCAUUAGCUAGUUGGUAAGGUAACGGCUUACCAAGGCAACGAUGCGUAGCCGACCUGAGAGGGUGAUCGGCCACACUGGAACUGAGACACGGUCCAGACUCCUACGGGAGGCAGCAGUAGGGAAUCGUCCGCAAUGGGAGAAAGCCUGACGGAGCAACGCCGCGUGAGUGAAGAAGGUCUUCGGAUCGUAAAACUCUGUUAUUAGGGAAGAACAAAUGUGUAAGUAACGAUGCACGUCUUGACGGUACCUAAUCAGAAAGCCACGGCUAACUACGUG
This 497-nucleotide ribosomal RNA is filed under the name uncultured bacterium. RNAcentral describes it as "partial 16S ribosomal RNA". It matches the Rfam family "Bacterial small subunit ribosomal RNA", at positions 28 to 507 of the family's 1533-position model. The record is from RNAcentral.